UUGAACGCUGGCGGCAUGCUUUACCCCUGCAAGUCGAACGGUAACAGGCCUUCGGGUGCUGACGAGUGGCGAACGGGUGAGUAAUGCAUCGGAACGUACCCAGAGGUGGGGGAUAACGCAGCGAAAGCUGUGCUAAUACUGCAUGUGAUCUGAGGAUGAAAGCGGGGGACCGAGCAGCAAUGUUUGGCCUCGCGCCUUUGGAGCGGCCGAUGUCGGAUUAGCUAGUUGGUGGGGUAAAGGCCUACCAAGGCGACGAUCCGUAGCUGGUCUGAGAGGACGACCAGCCACACUGGGACUGAGACACGGCCCAGACUCCUACGGGAGGCAGCAGUGGGGAAUUUUGGACAAUGGGCGCAAGCCUGAUCCAGCAAUGCCGCGUGCGGGAAGAAGGCCUUCGGGUUGUAAACCGCUUUUGGCAGGAACGAAACGGUGUCCGCUAAUACCGGGCGCUAAUGACGGUACCUGCAGAAUAAGCACCGGCUAACUACGUG
RNAcentral lists this ribosomal RNA (491 nucleotides) under uncultured bacterium. RNAcentral's name for it is "partial 16S ribosomal RNA". It matches the Rfam family "Bacterial small subunit ribosomal RNA", at positions 30 to 507 of the family's 1533-position model. The record is from RNAcentral.